AUCCAUGUCACGUUGAAACACCUGUUUCCGUACGAUCACCGAAGUUAAGCAACGUCGAGCCUGGUCAGUACCUAGAUGGGUAAACGUUUGGAAAUGUCAGGUGCU
Acanthosepion pharaonis is the source of this 105-nucleotide non-coding RNA. The record is from the annotation of a GenBank genome assembly. NCBI's taxonomy places the organism in Eukaryota, Metazoa, Mollusca, Cephalopoda, Sepiida, Sepiidae.